This is a non-coding RNA of Kogia breviceps (pygmy sperm whale), 967 nucleotides long. The record is from RefSeq and is a predicted model, not a curated record. NCBI's taxonomy places the organism in Eukaryota, Metazoa, Chordata, Mammalia, Artiodactyla, Physeteridae.
UCGGGGAGGGUCGUGUUCGAUGUCAGGUGCGCGCCGCUCUGCGGCUGAGGCGCUGCGUGUUUGCAAUUGAGCCCCUGAGAACCAAGAGCAGAGACAACCCAAAUCUCCCCUUUUUGUUUUAAGUGAAAAUAUGGAAGUUGUAGCAUAAGAUUACAGUAUCUGUGAAAUUAGAACCACCAGCUCCCUGUCAUCUUGUAGCACCCGCGCCCCGCUGCUCCCUGACGCCUGGAUGGCACUUGGCGAACGUUUGCAGAAUAUGGUCGAAUUUAAUGUCCCCACCGAGCCUGUCGUUCAUUCAUUCAGCAUUAUUAUCUGCCGUGUACCAGGAUUGAAUCGUGCUGGAGAUACCAUGCUGAACAAGACUGUCCCUGCCCUCAGGAAGCUCUCAGUUCGGUUACUCGACAACCUUCAGAGACACCCCCAUCCCCCUGCUCCAGUUCUGUUUCUGUUUGCUGCCACAAGGAUUUCGUGACUGCCUAACGUGCUGGAUUACAAGAUCAACACUAGGUGCAUACUUGGUGCGAAAUACGGUGCCCAGGACUCCAAGUGCCGGGUGAAGAACGUAUAAGAUGGUAGCGGUCCAGUUUUCCCAGCACCACUUAUUGAAGAGAUCGUCUUUUCUCCACUGUAUGUUCUUGUCUCCUUUGUCAUAGAUUAAUUGACUCUCAUGACUGGUUGCCUGGCCCCCAUGCCCUCCUCAGUUUGCUGAAAGAAGAGAAUUCAGGUGCUCUGACCACACAUACAAAAAGUUAAUCUUCACAUCAAUCCUAUGAUGCCUUCAUUUUAUACUACAGGUUUAGUGGUUUUCACUUGAUUCCAAGCCUUUUACUCAAGCCAAGGAUGUUAUUAUAGAUGACUUACCAUUCUCGAUCCAGCCAGCCAGCUCCAAGUUGUGGUCCAGAUCAUAUCAUAUACAGAUGUGAGACUACCAUCCAGAAGACCAAGACUCAAAUGAACGUACCGUCAU